GAUGAACGCUGGCGGCGUGCCUAAUACAUGCAAGUCGAGCGAACAGACGAGGAGCUUGCUCCUUUGACGUUAGCGGCGGACGGGUGAGUAACACGUGGGUAACCUACCUAUAAGACUGGGAUAACUUCGGGAAACCGGAGCUAAUACCGGAUAAUAUUUCGAACCGCAUGGUUCCAUAGUGAAAGAUGGCUUUGCUAUCACUUAUAGAUGGACCUGCGCCGUAUUAGCUAGUUGGUAAGGUAACGGCUUACCAAGGCAACGAUACGUAGCCGACCUGAGAGGGUGAUCGGCCACACUGGAACUGAGGCACGGUCCAGACUCCUACGGGAGGCAGCAGUAGGGAAUCUUCCGCAAUGGGCGAAAGCCUGACGGAGCAACGCCGCGUGAGUGAUGAAGGUCUUCGGAUCGUAAAACUCUGUUAUUAGGGAAGAACAAACGUGUAAGUAACUGUGCACGUCUUGACGGUACCUAAUCAGAAAGCCACGGCUAACUACGUG
This 497-nucleotide ribosomal RNA is filed under the name uncultured bacterium. Its description in RNAcentral is "partial 16S ribosomal RNA". It matches the Rfam family "Bacterial small subunit ribosomal RNA", at positions 28 to 507 of the family's 1533-position model. The record is from RNAcentral.